This is a non-coding RNA of Dendrothele bispora CBS 962.96, 96 nucleotides long. Lineage: Eukaryota; Fungi; Basidiomycota; Agaricomycetes; Agaricales. The record is from the annotation of a GenBank genome assembly.
UCCGUUAUGGUGUAGUGGCUAACAUUAUCGCCUCUCAUCUGGAUAAAUACUGAUUUGAGACCGCGAUAGCCCAGGGUUCGAUUCCCUGUAACGGAA